Molecule: small nucleolar RNA, 85 nt
Organism: Dioscorea cayenensis subsp. rotundata (Guinea yam)
Lineage: Eukaryota; Viridiplantae; Streptophyta; Magnoliopsida; Dioscoreales; Dioscoreaceae
Source: RefSeq, a predicted model, not a curated record
UGGCAAUGAUUAUAAUAUACCCGCGCUUCUGAAGGUAAUAAUGAAGCACAUGGGAAAAUAUGGUUGAAUUUCUUAAUAUGAGCCU